GUUUCCUCUAGACGCCUCCCUCACUCUCUUCUGCAACAAGAAAUACAUGAAAAAAAACAAACUCUCAUCUACUGUGAGACUCAAAAACUGAUCAUCUUAUUUUAACACAGUCAACAAAAUUGAAAACCCCAAAAUUUCUCUAAGUUAUUCCUUUUCUCGAUGAGGGGCGGCAGCGAAAUACAAGGAUCUGUAUGUUUCCGGUUAGAUCUUUCUUAAUUUCCUUGUUCCUGUACUAGAUUUAGUUUAACAUGUAAUCUAGGAUUCAUCAAAAAUUUCUAAUGAUUGAAGUCUAAUUACGUGGGAUUUUACUAAAGGGGAAGAUCUAGUGUGUGUGUGGGUUUUCUUGUUUUUUCCCCCUUUUCCCAUGCCGUCAGUAGGUAUGAGAAGGUCUACUAGGAUUUUUGUACCAAAAUCUGUAAAAGAUUUUGAAGGAGCAACAGUGUUAAGAUCAGGUAAGCGAUUGUCAUCGCCGUUGUUUGUUGAUUCUAAGGCAGCCAGGGGAAAUGAAAUUGAAUGGUUUUCUCCGUCUAUGGUUGAGAAAUCAUGUGGUGUGGUUGUUCCUUCUUUUCAUCAUAAAAGUCUUGUCAAAAGAAAUGAAUUUGUGGCGAAGCAAAUAAAAAAGGAAAGUUCUUCUCCAUCCAAGAAAUUGAAUGCAACUGUAACCGUAAUUGAUGAGCCGAAGAAGAAUAAAAUGUAUGGGAAUGGGUAUGGUAGAAAAAGGCUAAGAUCAGUGGCUGAAAAUGUGGUGGGUACCCUAACAGAUAGCAACAGAAAAUUGGAUUUUGAUUUUGAAAAGAGGGGUUUGGAUGAGGAGCGGAAGUAUGGGAUUCAUUUUUUUCGAAAACAUCGAAGAAAGGCGGUAUCUUCAGAAUCAUCUGCAUAUCUAGCAAUUGAACAUUCUGAUGGAAAUAAUGAAUUUUCAAAAAUUAAUAGUAAAUCUGAAGAAUUGGCGGGAAAUUCUGGUUCACUUAGUUCUGAAUCAAGAGACAGUCUUGAUGUGAUUGUUGAACCUUCUCCUUGUUGUUCUAGUCAGUUCUGUAUUUUCUUAGUUUCACUUUUAAACUUCAUGACAAGGGCAAGGGUUAGUAUGUCAAAGCUUGUUGCGUUUAUGUGUUCUGGUCCCAUUGGUGAAACUUUUUCUCGGCAUGGGAUACAUUUCUUCCCUGAUCUAUCAUGCAGGAGAAGCGGUACUACUUUCUUGUCUAGAAUCUGCAUAAUUUGGGGUGCACAAGAUUUUGUACCUAUGUUUUCCUUGAACUUCAAUUCAGCUCCAUUUACAUUUAUAAGUCUGCAUUUUAGAAUGUUACUUCAAUCUCAAAGUUCGAUGGAUGUACUUGAGAGGUAUCUCGUGGGUGUGGUUAUGAAGCCUCAUGGAGCUAAUGGCAGCAGAAAACGCCUUUCCUCUGAGAUGGUGGUGGGUGUCUCUUUAAGCAAAAUAGUGGCUUCUGUGAGUUCUUCUGCGAAGAGAAGAAAGGAAGUCAAUUCUGUUGCUCAAAGAAGAAUUUCAAGUCGGCGUAGGACCAAUUCUAGGGGUGUUAAGACUUUUAGGUCCCUGAGAUUUAAGAGACCUCCUACCCUGGUUUCGCAAGAGUGUGUUGAUGAAGUUUCUGAUAUGUUUGGUACCGGAGUUGAUGGUACUGAUACCAGUUCUAUAAACAAGGUGAAAAAGCCAUUAUCUAGUGGCACUUGCAGUGCUGAUAUUAUCGAGGAGACGAAUCAGAAGGGAGAUACGAUCUGCUGCAGCGCAAAUGUCUUGGUUACAGAAUCUGAUAAGUGUUUCAGAGCAGAGGGGGCGAAGAUAGUGUUGGAGUAUUCGGAAUCAGACGACUGGUUACUUGUAGUGAAAGUGCAGGGCGUGACCAGGUUUAUUCAUAAAGCAGUAGAUUUGAUGAGGCCCCUGUGCACAACGAAUCGUUUCACUCAUGACCUGAUAUGGAUAGGAAGAACUGAUUGGAGGCUAGAGUUUUCUGAUAGACAAGAUUGGUCCAUCUUCAAAGAACUGCACAGCGAAUGUGCAGACAGAAAUAUGAAGGCAAUGGCUGCUAGGGAAGUAGUCCCUGUUCCUGGGGUACAUGAAGUGGAAAGCCAUGGGGACUAUAAAAAUGUUUCUUUCGUACGACCCAAUGCUUACAUUAAGAUGCAUGGCAACGAGGUGGAAAGGCUUUUCGUAAGGAGGAUUGCAAAUUAUGAUAUGGAUACAGAUGACGAAGAGUGGCUUGGAAAACUAAACAAUGACCUCUGUGGUGAUGGUGGUCCUCUUAGGCUUGUGUCAGCUGAGAAUUUUGAGAAGAUGGUAGAUAUAUUUGAGAAGGCUGCUUAUUGUAAACCAGAUGAUGUCUCUGAUGAGAGUAAAGCCGUUAAGCUUUGUCCUGAUAUGACGAUGAAUAUACUUACAUCUGUCUAUCAUUACUGGGUGGAGAAACGGAAGAAGAAAAAUUGUGCUUUACUGCGAGUGUUGCAGUGUGCCCCACCAAGGAAGCAUGAGAUGCUGCAAAAGCCCUUUCUUCGUAAGAAAAGAUCAUUUAAGAGACAAGCUAGCAAAUGUGGAAAUGGCAAACCAAGAACUUUCUUUCAAGAUUACUUGGGAACAUGGAAGCUUUGAAGAUGUUUCACAAUAGGUGUUUGAAUAAUUGAAUAUCAUUGUUGAAAAGUAUUUAAAUUUCUCAGCAUCCUAAAAAGGACGCACACACAAUUUUAGUGAAACCGUCAAGGAUUGUGUGAAAGUAAUGCUCUACUGUGUUGUCCACACUGCGAUUUAUGACUAAAAUUCUUUGUGUUCCGAAGAUCUUUUUGCAAAAAGAAACUCUUUGUAGCCAUAUCAAUUUUGCUCUAUCGUUGCGAAAAGGGUAUACCUUGCUUGUUCAUGCGUCGAAUUUGGGAUUUUUGAACAAUGUUUUUGCGGAGGAACAAGAGCAGGAUGCAAAUCGCAAGCGCUCUGCAAAAAUAUCUGUAGAGUUAGCAGUUGUCAAGCGCAGAAGAGCCCAGGAACUCAUGGAAAUUGCUGACCUUGCAACCUACAAGGCUACCUUAGCGUUGAAAAUUGCUGAAGCAGUACAACACGAAAUUCCUUCAGACGAUUUUGUUACUUUCAUCCUUAGUUAGAUAUCAC
RNA transcript from Papaver somniferum (opium poppy), 3109 nucleotides. RefSeq lists it as uncharacterized. NCBI's taxonomy places the organism in Eukaryota, Viridiplantae, Streptophyta, Magnoliopsida, Ranunculales, Papaveraceae. The transcript is spliced from 5 exons. The record is from RefSeq and is a predicted model, not a curated record.